This is a non-coding RNA of Nicotiana tabacum (common tobacco), 1925 nucleotides long. The record is from RefSeq and is a predicted model, not a curated record. NCBI's taxonomy places the organism in Eukaryota, Viridiplantae, Streptophyta, Magnoliopsida, Solanales, Solanaceae.
CCCAUCCAAACAGGCAUACUCAAUUUUGGAGCCACAGAGUGACUUUGUAAGAAUAUCUGCUAAUUACUGGGGAAUGAGUUGACUGAGCUUUGGUUUCAAGUAUCUGGUGAUUAGACGUUGGAUAUAUUAAAAUGGUUUCCUAUCCAGCUACAAAGGAUUAGUAUUUAGUUGUUGUAUGCUUGAAUGAUAAUAAGUUGAAUCCAUUGUGCAAGGAGAUUAACAAAGAAUUUUGUGGUUUUAUGGAUCAAUUCAAGUGUCAUAAGUAUCAACAGUUUCUCAAAGACGAUAGCCUCCUGGGACUUCAAGAUGAUCAAAAUGUUAAACACUUUGGUAGAAGGUCCAUUGUUAAUCUGGUGGGAUAUCCAGUUUGUCAAGUUCUUAAAUCUCUGUGCUUUUAUUAUUUCCUUUUCUCCCCUUUCAUAUAUCUCUAUAGGUGUCUCAAUUAGCUUUUCUUUAUUUGACGUACUCUUUUGUUUUUUCAUGAUCUUAUCUCCAAUAAUCGCUUGGUCAUACUUCAACUUCAUCUCUGGUUUAUUUGCACAAAAAAAAGAAUAGUCCAUGCUUUUGGCAAAUGCUUAGAGAAAUCAUCAAUUCAAGCAAGAUGUCAUAACGUACUAUUUCAUCCUUUAGCUUUACUAUCGGUUAAUAAAUCACUUUGAUGUUAAUGUUUCAUUAUUACAGCACAACAAAGUAUUCUUUGGUUGAAAAGGACUAAAUCAGUGUGUUUUGCACAUGUUCUGUAUUUGUGUCAAAAAAGAGCUGUCUUUAAUUUAGUUUAUGUUUCCCACUCCAUUGCAGUUACCUUGAGGCACUUGAUAACAAUUCUGACAUUGAUCGGAAUGAAACGUUAGGACAUUUUAUUCAGUUUUCAAUAUGUGCAUCAAUUUGGUUCUGCCCCUCAAAAAGAGUAAUGAGCUUUUUUUGCUUACUCCAUUCUUUCAUUUUGUCGCAACCAUCAUUUCUAUAUGAACGAAUGAAGAAGGUCCGGUUUGGUUCUACCAUUUUAAAUCCCUAUAUUUUCUCAUGUCUAUUUAUGCAUUCAUGUGAGUGAUUUCUAUCCAACUUCUUUUACUAGAAAUGAUGAAGAUGGUCUCCAUUAGGUUGAUUAACUUUUGUCUUGUUUUCAAACUGCUGACUUGUUUAAGAACAUAUGUUUCAUAAUUUAUAUUAUUUUUAUAGUGGUGUUUAAUUAAGAGAAAAAAUACUUCUAUCAGGCUAUAUUUUAUUUUUACCACCAUGCAGUUAGGAACUACUCAUGAUUCUAACUGUAAAAGAAAGAGCAUAUGCAGGUUGUACUAUAGAUUGCGCGGAUGGUUCCAAAGACGUAUAUGAUGGAUGCGUAAUGGCUGCCCAUGUUUGUGCUAAUAGUAAAUGGAAACUAAAACCUUUGAUGAUUUUGUUUCGAGAGUCCAAAAUGGAAUCCGUUUUGCUUGGAGGAAGAAGUUGGAGAAUUGAAUGUCUGAGUAUGCCUGGAUAUCCUGCACUUUUCCAGCAGUUAUGAUUAAUAAAUACUCGUCUUUUGAUCAAUCAGAAUACAUGUUCAUGUGUGUAAUCCCAAAUGACGCCUCUUCAGAUGUUGGCAUUAUCUGUAAAAUGUGAUUUAUGAGGAAAUAAAGUGCAAUUGGUGAAAAGAGCAAAUGAAGGAACUUUUUGUAAUUUAUUCUUCACUUAAUUUCUCUCAUUAUUAACACCCUGUUUAUAUCUCUGUUUAGAUUUCUUUUUUCAGUGCAAAAUUGGAAAGUUGAAGAAAAUGAGUGGAGAUCAACAUGUGGAUAUGCAUUACAUGAGCAAUAUGGGGUUUAUUCCGUUACCAUGACAUAAAAUACAUGUACUUCAGCUGAAUAUUGUACUUUGUGCGCUGAGAAAUAGUAUUUGUCAAAGUGAAACAUACUAUAAUUGGAAGUGUUUGUUCUGCCGCCCGGAAA